CUGAAUAGGGCGCAUAAGUAACAGGUCGUAGACCCGAAACCAGGUGAUCUACCCAUGUCCAGGAUGAAGGUAAGGUAAUACUUACUGGAGGUCCGAACCCACGCACGUUGAAAAGUGCGGGGAUGAGGUGUGGGUAGCGGAGAAAUUCCAAUCGAACUUGGAGAUAGCUGGUUCUCUCCGAAAUAGCUUUAGGGCUAGCCUCGAGGUAAAGAGUCAUGGAGGUAGAGCACUGUUUGGACUAGGGGCCCUUCUCGGGUUACCGAAUUCAGAUAAACUCCGAAUGCCAUGUACUUAUACUCGGGAGUCAGACUGCGAGUGAUAAGAUCCGUAGUCGAAAGGGAAACAGCCCAGACCACCAGUUAAGGUCCCCAAAUAUAUGUUAAGUGGAAAAGGAUGUGGGGUUGCUUAGACAACCAGGAUGUUGGCUUAGAAGCAGCCACCAUUGAAAGAGUGCGUAAUAGCUCACUGGUCGAGUGACCCCGCGCCGAAAAUGUACCGGGGCUAAACAUAUUACCGAAACUGUGGAUGAACCUCUUUAGAGGUUCGUGGUAGGAGAGCGUUCUAAGGGCGGUGAAGUCAGACCGGAAGGACUGGUGGAGCGCUUAGAAGUGAGAAUGCCGGUAUGAGUAGCGAAAGAAGGGUGAGAAUCCCUUCCACCGAAUAUCUAAGGUUUCCUGAGGAAGGCUCGUCCGCUCAGGGUUAGUCGGGACCUAAGCCGAGGCCGAUAGGCGUAGGCGAUGGACAACAGGUAGAGAUUCCUGUACCAGUGCUAAUUGUUUAACCGAUGGGGUGACACAGAAGGAUAGGGAAUCGCACGAAUGGAAAUGUGCGUCCAAGCAGUGAGUGUGAGAAGUAGGCAAAUCCGCUUCUCGCGAAGCAUGAGCUGUGAUGGGGAAGGAAAUUAAGUACGGAAGUUCCUGAUUUCACGCUGUCAAGAAAAGCCUCUAGGAAGAGUAGUACUGCCCGUACCGCAAACCGACACAGGUAGAUGAGGAGAGAAUCCUAAGGUGAGCGAGAGAACUCUCGUUAAGGAACUCGGCAAAAUGACCCCGUAACUUCGGGAGAAGGGGUGCUCUAUUAGGGUGCAAGCCCGAGAGAGCCGCAGUGAAUAGGCCCAGGCGACUGUUUAGCAAAAACACAGGUCUCUGCAAAACCGUAAGGUGACGUAUAGGGGCUGACGCCUGCCCGGUGCUGGAAGGUUAAGAGGAGUGCUUAGCUUCGGCGAAGGUACGAAUUGAAGCCCCAGUAAACGGCGGCCGUAACUAUAACGGUCCUAAGGUAGCGAAAUUCCUUGUCGGGUAAGUUCCGACCCGCACGAAAGGCGCAACGAUCUGGGCACUGUCUCAACGAGAGACUCGGUGAAAUUAUAGUACCUGUGAAGAUGCAGGUUACCCGCGACAGGACGGAAAGACCCCGUGGAGCUUUACUGCAACCUGAUAUGGAAUGUUUGUACCGCUUGUACAGGAUAGGUAGGAGCCGAAGAGACGUGUGCGCUAGCAUACGAGGAGGCAAUGGUGGGAUACUACCCUGGCUGUAUGACCAUUCUAACCCGCCACGCUUAGCGCGUGGGGAGACAGUGUCAGGUGGGCAGUUUGACUGGGGCGGUCGCCUCCUAAAGAGUAACGGAGGCGCCCAAAGGUUCCCUCAGAAUGGAUGGAAAUCAUUCGCAGAGUGUAAAGGCACAAGGGAGCUUGACUGCGAGACUGACAAGUCGAGCAGGGACGAAAGUCGGGCUUAGUGAUCCGGUGGUUCCGCAUGGAAGGGCCAUCGCUCAACGGAUAAAAGCUACCCCGGGGAUAACAGGCUUAUCUCCCCCAAGAGUCCACAUCGACGGGGAGGUUUGGCACCUCGAUGUCGGCUCGUCGCAUCCUGGGGCUGUAGUCGGUCCCAAGGGUUGGGCUGUUCGCCCAUUAAAGCGGCACGCGAGCUGGGUUCAGAACGUCGUGAGACAGUUCGGUCCCUAUCCGUCGCGGGCGCAGGAAAUUUGAGAGGAGCUGUCCUUAGUACGAGAGGACCGGGAUGGACACACCGCUGGUGUACCAGUUGUUCCGCCAGGAGCAUCGCUGGGUAGCUAUGUGUGGCAGGGAUAAACGCUGAAAGCAUCUAAGCGUGAAGCCCCCCUCAAGAUGAGAUUUCCCAUUUCUUCGGAAAGUAAGAUCCCUGAAAGAUGAUCAGGUAGAUAGGUUUGGAGUGGAAGUGUAGUGAUACAUGGAGCGGACAAAUACUAAUCGAUCGAGGACUUAACCAAAA
This 2250-nucleotide ribosomal RNA is filed under the name Listeria monocytogenes. RNAcentral's name for it is "partial 23S ribosomal RNA". It matches the Rfam family "Bacterial large subunit ribosomal RNA", at positions 683 to 2925 of the family's 2925-position model. The record is from RNAcentral. Lineage: Bacteria; Bacillati; Bacillota; Bacilli; Caryophanales; Listeriaceae.